RNAcentral lists this non-coding RNA (21 nucleotides) under Caenorhabditis elegans. The record is from RNAcentral. Lineage: Eukaryota; Metazoa; Nematoda; Chromadorea; Rhabditida; Rhabditidae.
UCAUUUGUUUUUUUAAUAUGA